This is a long non-coding RNA of Mustela erminea (ermine), 93 nucleotides long. RefSeq lists it as uncharacterized. The record is from RefSeq and is a predicted model, not a curated record. Lineage: Eukaryota; Metazoa; Chordata; Mammalia; Carnivora; Mustelidae. The transcript is spliced from 3 exons.
UCAAGAUGGCUGCACUUAUGUCAGAGCUAGACUCAAGGUGGGUAUAGUCUUGUUUUUCUUGGCCUCCACACCAUUAUGUAUUUUACUAUUUCA